RNAcentral lists this ribosomal RNA (1289 nucleotides) under Halomonas sp. RNAcentral's name for it is "bacterial SSU rRNA". It matches the Rfam family "Bacterial small subunit ribosomal RNA", at positions 118 to 1404 of the family's 1533-position model. Lineage: Bacteria; Pseudomonadati; Pseudomonadota; Gammaproteobacteria; Oceanospirillales; Halomonadaceae. The record is from RNAcentral.
UAGGAAUCUGCCCGGUAGUGGGGGAUAACCUGGGGAAACUCAGGCUAAUACCGCAUACGUCCUACGGGAGAAAGCAGGGGAUCUUCGGACCUUGCGCUAUCGGAUGAGCCUAUGCCGGAUUAGCUAGUUGGUGAGGUAAUGGCCCACCAAGGCGACGAUCCGUAGCUGGUCUGAGAGGAUGAUCAGCCACAUCGGGACUGAGACACGGCCCGAACUCCUACGGGAGGCAGCAGUGGGGAAUAUUGGACAAUGGGCGCAAGCCUGAUCCAGCCAUGCCGCGUGUGUGAAGAAGGCUUUCGGGUUGUAAAGCACUUUCAGUGGGGAAGAAUGCCUUGGGCCUAAUACGCCCGAGGAAAGACAUCACCCACAGAAGAAGCACCGGCUAACUCCGUGCCAGCAGCCGCGGUAAUACGGAGGGUGCGAGCGUUAAUCGGAAUUACUGGGCGUAAAGCGCGCGUAGGUGGCUUGAUAAGCCGGUUGUGAAAGCCCCGGGCUCAACCUGGGAACGGCAUCCGGAACUGUCAGGCUAGAGUGCAGGAGAGGAAGGUAGAAUUCCCGGUGUAGCGGUGAAAUGCGUAGAGAUCGGGAGGAAUACCAGUGGCGAAGGCGGCCUUCUGGACUGACACUGACACUGAGGUGCGAAAGCGUGGGUAGCAAACAGGAUUAGAUACCCUGGUAGUCACGCCGUAAACGAUGUCGACUAGCCGUUGGGUCCCUCGCGGACUUUGUGGCGCAGUUAACGCGAUAAGUCGACCGCCUGGGGAGUACGGCCGCAAGGUUAAAACUCAAAUGAAUUGACGGGGGCCCGCACAAGCGGUGGAGCAUGUGGUUUAAUUCGAUGCAACGCGAAGAACCUUACCUACCCUUGACAUCGUGCGAACUUGGUAGAGAUACCUUGGUGCCUUCGGGAGCGCACAGACAGGUGCUGCAUGGCUGUCGUCAGCUCGUGUUGUGAAAUGUUGGGUUAAGUCCCGUAACGAGCGCAACCCUUGUCCUUAUUUGCCAGCGGGUCAUGCCGGGAACUCUAAGGAGACUGCCGGUGACAAACCGGAGGAAGGUGGGGACGACGUCAAGUCAUCAUGGCCCUUACGGGUAGGGCUACACACGUGCUACAAUGGCCGGUACAAAGGGUUGCGAAGCCGCGAGGUGGAGCUAAUCCCGAAAAGCCGGUCUCAGUCCGGAUCGGAGUCUGCAACUCGACUCCGUGAAGUCGGAAUCGCUAGUAAUCGUGAAUCAGAAUGUCACGGUGAAUACGUUCCCGGGCCUUGUACACACCGCCCGUCACACCA